UACGUAGGGUGCAAGCGUUAAUCGGAAUUACUGGGCGUAAAGCGUGCGCAGGCGGUUUCGUAAGACAGAUGUGAAAUCCCCGGGCGUCAACCUGGGAACGUGCAUUUGUAGACUGCAAAGACUAGAGUGUGGCAGAGGGGGGUGGAAUUCCACGUGUAGCAGUGAAAUGCGUAGAGAUGUGGAGGAACACCGAUGGCGAAGGCAGCCCCCUCGGGCGAACUACUGACGCUCAUGCACGAAAGCGUGGGGAGCAAACAGGAUUAGAUACCCCU
Molecule: ribosomal RNA, 272 nt
Filed under: uncultured bacterium
Lineage: Bacteria
Description: partial 16S ribosomal RNA
Rfam family: Bacterial small subunit ribosomal RNA
Source: RNAcentral